RNAcentral lists this transfer RNA (76 nucleotides) under Pseudomonadota bacterium. RNAcentral describes it as "tRNA-Arg". It matches the Rfam family "tRNA". From Rfam's summary of the family: Transfer RNA (tRNA) molecules are approximately 80 nucleotides in length. Their secondary structure includes four short double-helical elements and three loops (D, anti-codon, and T loops). Further hydrogen bonds mediate the characteristic L-shaped molecular structure. tRNAs have two regions of fundamental functional importance: the anti-codon, which is responsible for specific mRNA codon recognition, and the 3' end, to which the tRNAs corresponding amino acid is attached (by aminoacyl-tRNA synthetases). tRNAs cope with the degeneracy of the genetic code in two manners: having more than one tRNA (with a specific anti-codon) for a particular amino acid; and 'wobble' base-pairing, i.e. permitting non-standard base-pairing at the 3rd anti-codon position. The record is from RNAcentral. Lineage: Bacteria; Pseudomonadati; Pseudomonadota. RNAcentral also lists the same sequence under 1 other name.
GCCCCCGUAGCUCAGUGGAUAGAGCAAUGGUUUCCUAAACCAUUGGCCGGGUGUCCGAUUCACCCCGGGGGCACCA